RNAcentral lists this ribosomal RNA (439 nucleotides) under uncultured bacterium. RNAcentral describes it as "partial 16S ribosomal RNA". It matches the Rfam family "Bacterial small subunit ribosomal RNA", at positions 338 to 795 of the family's 1533-position model. The record is from RNAcentral.
CCUACGGGAGGCAGCAGUGGGGGAUAUUGCACAAUUGAGGAAACUCUGAUGCAGCGACGCCGCGUGAGGGAAGACGGUCUUCGGAUUGUAAACCUCUGUCUUUGGGGAGGAAAAUGACGGUACCUAAAGAGGAAGCUCCGGCUAACUACGUGCCAGCAGCCGCGGUAAUACGUAGGGGGCGAGCGUUGUCCGGAAUUACUGGGUGAAAAGGGAGAGUAGGCGGGCGGGCAAGUUGAAUGUUAAAUCUACCGGCUUAACUGGGAGCUGCGUUCGAGACUUCUUGUCUUGAGUGAAGUAGAGGCAGGCAGAAUUCCUAGUGUAGCGGUGAAAUGCGUAGAGAUUAGGAGGAACACCAGUGGCGAAGGCGGCCUGCUGGGCUAUAACUGACGCUGAGGCUCGAAAGCGUGGGGAGCAAACAGGAUUAGAUACCCUGGUAGUC